AGUGAACGCUGGCGGCGUGCCUAACACAUGCAAGUCGAGCGAGCUUUUGCAGCACACCGCAAGAGCUAGCGGCAGACGGGUGAGUAACACGUGGGAAACCUCCACUGAAGAGGAGAAUACCCCCGAGAAAUCGGGGUUAAUACUCCAUAAGACCACAAUCCGGCAUCGGAUAGGGGUCAAAGACGCAAGUCACUUCGGGAUGGUCCCGCGUCCUAUCAGCUAGUUGGUGAGGUAACGGCUCACCAAGGCUAUGACGGGUAGCCGGCCUGAAAGGGCGAUCGGCCACACUGGAACUGAGACACGGUCCAGACUCCUACGGGAGGCAG
This 326-nucleotide ribosomal RNA is filed under the name uncultured Elusimicrobia bacterium. RNAcentral describes it as "bacterial SSU rRNA". It matches the Rfam family "Bacterial small subunit ribosomal RNA", at positions 29 to 351 of the family's 1533-position model. The record is from RNAcentral. Lineage: Bacteria; Pseudomonadati; Elusimicrobiota; Elusimicrobia.